RNAcentral lists this long non-coding RNA (259 nucleotides) under Phoenix dactylifera (date palm). RNAcentral's name for it is "long non-coding RNA (PDAC_LNC015361)". The record is from RNAcentral. Lineage: Eukaryota; Viridiplantae; Streptophyta; Magnoliopsida; Arecales; Arecaceae.
UCUUGGUUGGCGCUGAAAAUUGAUUACAGACAGUAGAUGUGAUAACCGUCCCCGUUUCUAAGAGAAACGGGGGGAGGCCAUCAACCAAAGGGCGGGCGUUUGUAAUCGCCUGAUGGUGGGCGGUUACAACCGUCCGCCUUCCCCAGCAAUCGGAGGCUACAAGAAGCCCCGAUCGAUGAGGCUUUUCACCACCCUCCUUCCUCUAUUUCUCCUCCAUUGUCUUCCUUUCUCAUAACUCUCCCCAGUGGAUAGGAUCUGG